Topomyia yanbarensis is the source of this 912-nucleotide long non-coding RNA. RefSeq lists it as uncharacterized. The record is from RefSeq and is a predicted model, not a curated record. NCBI's taxonomy places the organism in Eukaryota, Metazoa, Arthropoda, Insecta, Diptera, Culicidae. The transcript is spliced from 4 exons.
UUCUGGCAACCGCGAUACCACAAUAAUUCAUUCAACACUGUCAAAACAUCAGUCCUCAAACAGGAGAGUGUUGUGAAUCGAGACGGUCAACACUCGGUUUCUCGUGCAGUUGUCGUAGAGUGUAGAUAGCUGUAGCAAAUUGACGACCCAUUCGCGUUUUUCGACGGAACCGAGGAAAUAUACUAGUCGGUAAAGCAAGUUUUGCAGCUUUCGGACGAAUUUAAUCCAAUCAACCUGCUAACACGCUGCUGAGAAGGUAAAAAGAAAAACGUCUACUUUUGCGCAGAUAAUGAAUACAUCUAGCUUGGGGUGUUCGUUCAGUGUGACAAACGGAACAGAUUGUUCGUCUUCUGCUUGGCCCACGAAUGUCUCGGUAGUAUAAUCAGCUUCAUCGGGAAUGAAAGACGAGUGUCCAUCGGAAAGGACGAUCCGAUCAAACUGCUGUCUUAUAGCCCGACGAAUCCACCGGUACUAGAUGCGUUGAGCGAAACCUGUCAUAAGGAGGUUGAAAAUAACCAGGUAGCUCUAUGCUGCAGUACAGAGCGGAAGACGGUUUGAGGAUGAACAUCGUUGAUUGGCGUGUUGGGGCGUACGUCGAUCACCACGACAUGGUACACAUGCUGCGGAUGUGUCAAGAUAUGAACUGGCAGAGUGGACGAAAAAUUAAAGGCGUUUUUGCUUGACCCCGAAACUGAGUCAGGUUCUGACCUCAACCGGUGUCAGUUCAUACAUUUUGACAACAGUUGGGGUUAGAACAUGACUCAGUUUCGCUUCAAGCAAGAAUAACGUAAGACUGUGUUCUAUUCGCAAAGAAAAAAAGUUUGAGGAACGAAAGGAAGCUAACUGGAUCAGAUGACUUAACGAUUCCGUUGUAUACCUUUUGGAGACCGCUUAACAUGUUUAAUGUUUAUG